CCUACGGGCGGCAGCAGUGGGGAAUAUUGCGCAAUGGGCGAAAGCCUGACGCAGCGACGCCGCGUGAGGGAUGAAGGUCUUCGGAUCGUAAACCUCUGUCAGCAGGGAAGAACGGUCACUGUGCUAAUCAGCAGUGAAUUGACGGUACCUGCAAAGGAAGCACCGGCUAACUCCGUGCCAGCAGCCGCGGUAAUACGGAGGGUGCGAGCGUUAAUCGGAAUUACUGGGCGUAAGGCGCUCGUAGGCGGUAUGUCAAGUCAAGGGUGAAAUCCCCGCGCUCAACGUGGGAACUGCCUUUGAAACUGGCAAACUGGAGUGUGUGAGAGGAUAGUGGAAUUCCAGGUGUAGGAGUGAAAGCCGUAGAUAUCUGGAGGAACAUCAGUGGCGAAGGCGACUAUCUGGCACAUAACUGACGCUGAGGAGCGAAAGCGUGGGUAGCAAACAGGAUUAGAUACCCUAGUAGUC
This 465-nucleotide ribosomal RNA is filed under the name uncultured bacterium. RNAcentral's name for it is "partial 16S ribosomal RNA". It matches the Rfam family "Bacterial small subunit ribosomal RNA", at positions 338 to 795 of the family's 1533-position model. The record is from RNAcentral.